Molecule: long non-coding RNA, 655 nt
Organism: Nicotiana tabacum (common tobacco)
Lineage: Eukaryota; Viridiplantae; Streptophyta; Magnoliopsida; Solanales; Solanaceae
Source: RefSeq, a predicted model, not a curated record
GGUGGAAUUAAUAGAAUAAAACUGGCUCAUCAUCUUUAGAUGGUACUAAGUGUAAGAGUUUUGGUAUAGCAAGUCAACUAUUCCAGAAAAAGAAAAAAUAAGUGUAAGAGUUUUGGUAUAGCAAAGUUAAUUCCGAUUCUCUCUCUCGAGUUCCAUUGAGGAAGCACAACAAAUUGGAAGUUGUAGAUAUGAUUUUGUUACUGCCUGGGGUUAAAAGUUUGUCUUAUGUGAGAUCAAAAUAACAUGGAAAUUUUUUUACCUUAACGGAUCAGGUUAUGCAGGGGCAUACAACAUUCUAAUAGAAGGAAUGAAGAACUUCAACAAAUCAACAAGAAAAUUCAUUGAAUGCCUCCAAACUAUCGAUGGUAACAAUUUUCCUUAGAUAAUGAUGCGUAUGCAGCUCAGGCAUUGCGAAUGGAGCAAGGCUGCAGAAUGUGCAUAGGUUUCUCGAGUCUCAUUGUGUUUCACUCCAAGUGAUAUAGGAGGUCGUGUCACGUCAUGUAGCAGCCCAAGAUCACUCUAUGGAAGUAACUUUGCGGAUCAUGAGUGUCCAUUGAAUGUAUCUCUAGGAUUUAUUACUGUUUUUUCCCUUAUGUUGAAUUGAUGUAAAAUAUUACUCCAUGAAUUUUAAUACAUUUGAUGGUGUAAUUCUGAA